AGUGAACGCUGGCGGUAGGCCUAACACGUGCAAGUCGAGCGGCAGCACAGUAAGAGCUUGCUCUUACGGGUGGCGAGUGGCGGACGGGUGAGGAAUACAUCGGAAUCUACUUUUUCGUGGGGGAUAACGUAGGGAAACUUACGCUAAUACCGCAUACGACCUACGGGUGAAAGCAGGGGAUCUUCGGACCUUGCGCGAUUGAAUGAGCCGAUGUCGGAUUAGCUAGUUGGCGGGGUAAAGGCCCACCAAGGCGACGAUCCGUAGCUGGUCUGAGAGGAUGAUCAGCCACACUGGAACUGAGACACGGUCCAGACUCCUACGGGAGGCAGCAGUGGGGAAUAUUGGACAAUGGGCGCAAGCCUGAUCCAGCCAUACCGCGUGGGUGAAGAAGGCCUUCGGGUUGUAAAGCCCUUUUGUUGGGAAAGAAAAGCAGCAGGUUAAUACCCCGCUGUUCUGACGGUACCCAAAGAAUAAGCACCGGCUAACUUCGUG
RNAcentral lists this ribosomal RNA (492 nucleotides) under uncultured bacterium. RNAcentral's name for it is "partial 16S ribosomal RNA". It matches the Rfam family "Bacterial small subunit ribosomal RNA", at positions 29 to 507 of the family's 1533-position model. The record is from RNAcentral.